CAAACGCACAUGGGGUUGACG
Molecule: microRNA, 21 nt
Filed under: Panagrellus redivivus
Lineage: Eukaryota; Metazoa; Nematoda; Chromadorea; Rhabditida; Panagrolaimidae
Description: prd-miR-7948b-3p
Source: miRBase by way of RNAcentral